This 89-nucleotide transfer RNA is filed under the name Xylaria cubensis. RNAcentral's name for it is "tRNA-Phe". It matches the Rfam family "tRNA". Rfam says of the family: Transfer RNA (tRNA) molecules are approximately 80 nucleotides in length. Their secondary structure includes four short double-helical elements and three loops (D, anti-codon, and T loops). Lineage: Eukaryota; Fungi; Ascomycota; Sordariomycetes; Xylariales; Xylariaceae. RNAcentral also lists the same sequence under 2 other names. The record is from RNAcentral.
GCGGGGAUAGCUCAGCUGGGAGAGCGUCAGACUGAAGUCAACUUCAUUCAUCAAUCUGAAGGCCGUGUGUUCGAUCCACACUCACCGCA